ACAUGACAAGGCACAGAGUGCUCGAGGUCGUUCAGUUCUCCCCACUUCAGACAGACCAGGAAACCUCCAGUGGCUUGUAAAAGGCACUGGGCAUCCAUCCCUCAGCAGGGAUGCGGUGCCAUCGCCUGCCCUAAUCCUAACCCCUGCAUAGCACACCCCAAAGCGUGAAACUCCACAAACCCCACAAGUGAGAUCUGCCCCAGUCUACAGAGACAAGAGCACUGCCAGGGUUAUUGGGUGAUGGUGCAGCACAGCGCUGCCAACUGCGCCCACACCUCGGCAUUUGCAGCAGGAGCGAUGCGCAACUGAAAUCAUUUAUGCAACUUCCAUUUAUCCAAAUUAAAAGCAUCCCCCAGGAGCCUGGCAGGUCACCAAGCCCUUGGCUGAGCAAUGCCUGGGCUCAGAGUCAUCGUAUUUUUAAUUUCGUCUUCCUCUGUUUCGUGAUGAAAUAUUUAAGAGCAAUUGUUUAAGGAGACAAGAAUGCCAAUCCUGCGUCUGGGAGACCGGCACCGUCAGAGGAACAGAUGGACAAAGCCUCACGGCGCUCCCCACAGCAGUCAUUAUCCCAUUCUCUGACCCGCAUGUGGGGAGGCAGAGGGGUGUUUGCUGCUGCACACCGUGAGUCACCCCGUGAGCUGCACUACCUGCAGAGCUUGGUGCUGUAAACAGACCAUAAAAGCGAUGCGUGUCUGCAGAGUCAGAGGGCGACCUGCUGCUGCCUCUCCCUGCGCCUGCAUUGAUGCCCCUGCAACCCUGGGACCGGGCCACUGCGGUGCUGCGGCUGCACCCUGCCCCUUGCCCACUGCAACUGCCUCUCCUACCACCCAGCGGUGCCCGAGGCAAUGUCCCCAAGUCCAUGAGAAUGUCACUUUCCUGUUUGCCGUGCCUCCUCCAGGAGAACAACCCAACCUCGUUAUGUUCUUAAUCCCGGAUUUCAUUAUUUUAUUAAUCCCACAAUGCGCCGUGAGCGCAGGGAUGGGGUUGUGCAGCUGCUCCUGGCAUGUGGCUGAGGGAGGGCACUUGUGCAGCAGCCGGGCUAUAGAUAGUGGUGGGAGCGGCCUCCUGCAGGGCUCCAGCACUGAAAAUAGGCACAGCUCCCCGACACACGCCUGCCCGGCAGCUCCGCUCCUCUAAAAGGAGAGCAGGAAGAAGCUGGGCUGGCAGGGAGCAGCAUGUAGGAGCCCUUAAAGAGCCCACCAAAAUGCAGGAGAGCUGCUCACACGCUCCCAGCGUGGUUUCUCUCCUCUCCUCUCUCCCGUUGCACUAGGACCCUGGGACACACCGCUUCCCAAGCUGGGACACGCUCAGCUGCUGGAUUCCCAAAUAUAGCCCUGCACACAGCAGCAGGACAGCUGCUCCCCGCCGCUGCCCUUCCGGAUCACCAACCUCAGCAGUGCUCCUCUCUCUGUGCCAAGGAACAAACCUCCAUCCAGUGCUGCACAGAGCACUGGGGAUGAGGGUCCCAGCAGCUCCAUGUGCUGAAUGCAGCUCCCCAACAUCUCCCAGCCACGUGCUGCAGGCAGGAGCAGCGGCCUGUGUGUGCUCCCUGCCCUCGCAGCAGCCACAGCCAGCAGCUGGUGGGGCUCAGAGGAGUUUCGGAGCCAGGAACUUUUUACUUAGUUUGGAAAUAGCUUUGCAAAUGACUUGCUUUCCCAUCUUAAACUGUUUGGAUUUUGCAGUGCAUUCUCAAUAACUCAGCUGUAUUUUUUUUCUGCCCCGUCAGUCUUUGGAAUAGUUUCUGGCUGAGGAAACAUUUUUUUUUCCAUUUGCUUUGCAGUUUCACGCAGCUGCUUUUGCUGCUCUUUUUCCUCCCGCAGCCUAACUCCUGCGGGAUGAAAACCGGGGUCUGCCCCAGGUCUGGCUGCAUCUCAGGGCAUUGCCAAGCGGGCACAGCCACAGCCCCACUGCAGACUAUAGCACUGCGUGCUGCCCUCAGUGCUUCCACAAGAAAAGUGGAGCUGCCUGCUUUGGUGAUAUUUGCACAUUUUGAAAGCACGGCCCUUCAGCUGCAGUCCCACCAGGUGAUGCUGUAACAGUAAACCAGGACUUAAAGCUCCUUUUAAUUGAGCGAUUCCCCUGGUCCCAGCAGGCACACGGUGCAUGGCAGGCAGGAGGGAUGCUCUGUGCUCGCUUC
Molecule: long non-coding RNA, 2134 nt
Filed under: Numida meleagris (helmeted guineafowl)
Lineage: Eukaryota; Metazoa; Chordata; Aves; Galliformes; Numididae
Description: lncRNA (ENSNMEG00000020307.1)
Source: RNAcentral